GAUGAACGCUGGCGGCGUGCCUAAUACAUGCAAGUCGAGCGAACGGACGAGAAGCUUGCUUCUCUGAUGUUAGCGGCGGACGGGUGAGUAACACGUGGAUAACCUACCUAUAAGACUGGGAUAACUUCGGGAAACCGGAGCUAAUACCGGAUAAUAUUUUGAACCGCAUGGUUCAAAAGUGAAAGACGGUCUUGCUGUCACUUAUAGAUGGAUCCGCGCUGCAUUAGCUAGUUGGUAAGGUAACGGCUUACCAAGGCAACGAUGCAUAGCCGACCUGAGAGGGUGAUCGGCCACACUGGAACUGAGACACGGUCCAGACUCCUACGGGAGGCAGCAGUAGGGAAUCUUCCGCAAUGGGCGAAAGCCUGACGGAGCAACGCCGCGUGAGUGAUGAAGGUCUUCGGAUCGUAAAACUCUGUUAUUAGGGAAGAACAUAUGUGUAAGUAACUGUGCACAUCUUGACGGUACCUAAUCAGAAAGCCACGGCUAACUACGUGCCAGCAGCCGCGGUAAUACGUAGGUGGCAAGCGUUAUCCGGAAUUAUUGGGCGUAAAGCGCGCGUAGGCGGUUUUUUAAGUCUGAUGUGAAAGCCCACGGCUCAACCGUGGAGGGUCAUUGGAAACUGGAAAACUUGAGUGCAGAAGAGGAAAGUGGAAUUCCAUGUGUAGCGGUGAAAUGCGCAGAGAUAUGGAGGAACACCAGUGGCGAAGGCGACUUUCUGGUCUGUAACUGACGCUGAUGUGCGAAAGCGUGGGGAUCAAACAGGAUUAGAUACCCUGGUAGUCCACGCCGUAAACGAUGAGUGCUAAGUGUUAGGGGGUUUCCGCCCCUUAGUGCUGCAGCUAACGCAUUAAGCACUCCGCCUGGGGAGUACGACCGCAAGGUUGAAACUCAAAGGAAUUGACGGGGACCCGCACAAGCGGUGGAGCAUGUGGUUUAAUUCGAAGCAACGCGAAGAACCUUACCAAAUCUUGACAUCCUUUGACAACUCUAGAGAUAGAGCCUUCCCCUUCGGGGGGCAAAGUGACAGGUGGUGCAUGGUUGUCGUCAGCUCGUGUCGUGAGAUGUUGGGUUAAGUCCCGCAACGAGCGCAACCCUUAAGCUUAGUUGCCAUCAUUAAGUUGGGCACUCUAAGUUGACUGCCGGUGACAAACCGGAGGAAGGUGGGGAUGACGUCAAAUCAUCAUGCCCCUUAUGAUUUGGGCUACACACGUGCUACGAUGGACAAUACAAAGGGCAGCGAAACCGCGAGGUCAAGCAAAUCCCAUAAAGUUGUUCUCAGUUCGGAUUGUAGUCUGCAACUCGACUACAUGAAGCUGGAAUCGCUAGUAAUCGUAGAUCAGCAUGCUACGGUGAAUACGUUCCCGGGUCU
This 1372-nucleotide ribosomal RNA is filed under the name uncultured bacterium. Its description in RNAcentral is "bacterial SSU rRNA". It matches the Rfam family "Bacterial small subunit ribosomal RNA", at positions 28 to 1381 of the family's 1533-position model. The record is from RNAcentral.